This 480-nucleotide ribosomal RNA is filed under the name uncultured Glomus. Its description in RNAcentral is "SSU rRNA". It matches the Rfam family "Eukaryotic small subunit ribosomal RNA", at positions 569 to 1054 of the family's 1831-position model. Lineage: Eukaryota; Fungi; Glomeromycota; Glomeromycetes; Glomerales; Glomeraceae. The record is from RNAcentral.
AGCAGCCGCGGUAAUUCCAGCUCCAAUAGCGUAUAUUAAAGUUGUUGCAGUUAAAAAGCUCGUAGUUGAAUUUCGGGAUCAAUACGUCGGUCGUGCUUCGGUACGUACUGGCGUAAUUGAUUUCUCCCUUCUGACGAACCAUGAUGUCAUUAACUUGGUGUCAUGGGAAAUCAGGACUGUUACUUUGAAAAAAUUAGAGUGUUUAAAGCAGGCUCACGCUUGAAUACAUUAGCAUGGAAUAAUGAAAUAGGACGUUCGAUCCUAUUUUGUUGGUUUUUAGGAUCAACGUAAUGAUUAAUAGGGAUAGUUGGGGGCAUUAGUAUUCAAUUGUCAGAGGUGAAAUUCUUGGAUUUAUUGAAGACUAACUACUGCGAAAGCAUUUGCCAAGGAUGUUUUCAUUAAUCAAGAACGAAAGUUAGGGGAUCGAAGACGAUCAGAUACCGUCGUAGUCUUAACCAUAAACUAUGCCGACUAGGGAUC